This 825-nucleotide ribosomal RNA is filed under the name human gut metagenome. RNAcentral describes it as "bacterial SSU rRNA". It matches the Rfam family "Bacterial small subunit ribosomal RNA", at positions 655 to 1492 of the family's 1533-position model. The record is from RNAcentral.
AGGCAAGUGGAACUACAUGUGUAGCGGUAAAAUGCGUAAAUAUAUGUAAGAACACCGGUGGCGAAGGCGGCUUGCUGGGCCUGUACUGACAUUGAGGCACGAAAGCGUGGGGAGCAAACAGGAUUAGAUACCCUGGUAGUCCACGCCGUAAACGAUGAGUACUAAGUGUUGCCGAUAGGCAGUGCUGAAGUUAACGCAUUAAGUACUCCGCCUGAGUAGUACGUACGCAAGUAUGAAACUUAAAGGAAUUGACGGGAGCCCGCACAAGCGGUGGAGCAUGUUGUUUAAUUCGACGAUACGCGAAGAACCUUACCAGGUCUUGACAUACCCUGCGAAGUUAUGGAGACAUAGCGGAGGUUAGCAGGGAUACAGGUGGUGCAUGGUUGUCGUCAGCUCGUGUCGUGAGAUGUUGGGUUAAGUCCCGCAACGAGCGCAACCCUUAUAUCUAGUUACCAGCAGUAAGAUGGGGACUCUAGAUAGACUGCCAUUGAUAAAAUGGAGGAAGGUGGGGAUGACGUCAAAUCAUCAUGCCCUUUAUGACCUGGGCUACAAACGUGCUACAAUGGCUGAAACAAAGAGAAGCGAAAUCGCGAGAUGGAGCGAACCUCAAAAAAGCAGUCUCAGUUCGGAUUGAAGUCUGCAACUCGACUUCAUGAAGUUGGAAUCGCUAGUAAUCGCGAAUCAGAAUGUCGCGGUGAAUACGUUCUCGGGCUUUGUACACACCGCCCGUCAAACCAUGAGAGUUUGUAAUACCCGAAGCCGGUGGCCUAACAGAAAUGAGGGAGCCGUCUAAGGUAGGACAGAUGAUUGGGGUUAAGUCGUAAC